CUUCCACACAGUAGUACUCCCGCUUUGCAUCUAACAGUUCAGAGGCUAAAGUUGCCACCACCACAGGGAUCUUCUGAGAGCUGCACAGUUAACAUCCCACAACAACCACCCGGAAGCCUGAGCAUCGCAUCACCAAACACUGCCUUUAUUCCUAUCCAUAACCCAGACUCCAUAUGCAAAUGGACUGGUACAUGACCCAGUCAUGGGGAGCCAAGCCAACUAUGGCAUGCAGCAGAUGGCAGGAUUUGGGAGAUUCUAUCCUGUAUAUCCAGCACCUAACGUAGUUGCCAACACCAGUGGUUCGGGGCCCAAGAAGAAUGGGAAUGUCUCAUGUUACAAUUGUGGUGUAAGCG
Molecule: small RNA, 353 nt
Filed under: Pan troglodytes (chimpanzee)
Lineage: Eukaryota; Metazoa; Chordata; Mammalia; Primates; Hominidae
Description: processed transcript
Source: RNAcentral